This 619-nucleotide ribosomal RNA is filed under the name uncultured bacterium. RNAcentral describes it as "bacterial SSU rRNA". It matches the Rfam family "Bacterial small subunit ribosomal RNA", at positions 338 to 1416 of the family's 1533-position model. The record is from RNAcentral.
CCUAUGGGAGGCAGCAGUGGAGAAUUUUGGACAAUGGGCGAAAGCCUGAUCCAGCCAUGCCGCGUGCAGGAUGAAGGCCUUCGGGUUGUAAACUGCUUUUGUACGGAACGAAAAGGUCUUUUCUAAUAAAGAAGGCUCAUGACGGUACCGUAAGAAUAAGCACCGGCUAACUACGUGCCAGCAGCCGCGGUAAUACGUAGGGUGCGAGCGUUAAUCGGAAUUACUGGGCGUAAAGCGUGCGCAGGCGGUUAUAUAAGACAGUUGUGAAAUCCCCGGGCUCAACCUGGGAACUGCAUCUGUGACUGUAUAGCUAGAGUACGGUAGAGGGGGAUGGAAUUCCGCGUGUAGCAGUGAAAUGCGUAGAUAUGCGGAGGAACACCGAUGGCGAAGGCAAUCCCCUGGACCUGUACUGACGCUCAUGCACGAAAGCGUGGGGAGCAAACAGGAUUAGAUACCCUGGUAGUCCACGCCCUAAACGAUGUCAACUGGUUGUUGGGUCUUCACUGACUCAGUACGAAGCUAACGCGUGAAGUUGACCGCCUGGGGAGUACGGCCGCAAGGUUGAAACUUAAGAGUAGUACGACGUGAGAGAGCGACGACGACGACGACGGAGGAGGAG